RNAcentral lists this long non-coding RNA (685 nucleotides) under Ursus americanus (American black bear). RNAcentral's name for it is "lncRNA (ENSUAMG00000015390.1)". The record is from RNAcentral. Lineage: Eukaryota; Metazoa; Chordata; Mammalia; Carnivora; Ursidae.
ACUCUUCCCCUCCCCCAGAUUGAUUUGAUCCACCUGGGAGCCAAGUUCUCCCCCUGCAUCCGGAGGGACCAGCAGAUCAAGCAGCUGGUGCUUCGGGAGCGAGACCUGGAGCGGGACUCGGGCUGCUGUGUCCAGAAUGACCACUCGGGCUGCAUCCAGACCCAGCGGAAGGACUGCUCGGAGACUUUGGCCACUUUUGUCAAGUGGCAGGAUGAUACGGGGCCCCCCAUGGACAAGUCUGAUCUGGGCCAGAAGCGGACGUCAGGGGCAGUGUGUCACCAAGACCCCAGAACCUGUGAGGAGCCGGCCUCCAGCGGUGCCCACAUCUGGCCCGAUGACAUCACUAAGUGGCCAAUCUGCACCGAGCAGGCCAAGAGUAACCGCACCGGCUUCCUGCACAUGGACUGCCAGAUCAAGGGCCGCCCCUGCUGCAUUGGCACCAAGGGCAGGUAAGCCAGCCCCGGCGCUCUGCCUGAGCUCCCCGCCAGAGCUGCCCGUGCUGCUGUUGCCACCUGCCACCCGGGCUAGUGUCCUCCCUCCCCCGCGCUGGGGUCGCCCAUGGUGUGAGCAGGAGGAAGGGGAGCCUGCCCCGGAGCUGGGGUCCCCGCAGAGGGGCACCCCUUCCUGCCAGCGGGCAGGGGUCCUCGGGGCUGUGACGUAUCCCUUUGCCUCCCUGUCCCCCUAG